This 65-nucleotide transfer RNA is filed under the name Trachys scrobiculatus. Its description in RNAcentral is "tRNA-Leu". The record is from RNAcentral. Lineage: Eukaryota; Metazoa; Arthropoda; Insecta; Coleoptera; Buprestidae.
UAUUAUUACUUUGGCAGAUUAGUGCGUUAGAUUUAGAACCUUUUAAUGUAAUUUUUUUACAGGUA